CAGAGGCCCCAAGCGUUACUGAGAAUCACUGGGUUUAAAGGGUGCGUAGGUGGCGCGUUAAGUCCGUUGUGAAAGCCCUGGGCUCAACCCAGGAACUGCUUCGGAUACUGGCGCGCUUGAGGCUAGUAGGGGUUACUGGAACUGACGGUGGAGCGGUGAAAUGCGUAGAUAUCGUCAGGAACGCCAAUGGUGAAGACAGGUAACUGGGCUAGUUCUGACACUGAGGCACGAAAGCGUGGGGAGCGAACGGGAUUAGAUACCCCGGUAGUCCACGCCCUAAACGAUGCAGACUAGACUGCAGCGGGUUACACCCCGUUGCGGUCGGAGCGAAAUUGUUAAGUCUGCCACCUGGGAAGUACGGUCGCAAGGCUA
This 372-nucleotide ribosomal RNA is filed under the name uncultured organism. RNAcentral describes it as "bacterial SSU rRNA". It matches the Rfam family "Bacterial small subunit ribosomal RNA", at positions 526 to 896 of the family's 1533-position model. The record is from RNAcentral.